AGACUUGGUGCGGCUUGCAUUUUGCAUCUGUGGGUUUUGAUGUUUUCGAGUCUUUUCCUUGUAUCAUUGUCCCACAGUAGUCCUGUGACAUAGAUAAGGCAGCUACAGAUACUCUCAGCAACAGGCUCCAAACGACUUGCCUGUGGCCACAGGGUGUCCUGGACUUCAAGUAGAACUGGAAGAUUUUGCUGAAAGAUUGGACAUGGCAUUCAGAGAAACAGAGGUUUUAAUGACAAACUCCAAGUUUUUGGCUGGAGCAACUGGAAGAAUGAGGUUGCCAUGAACCGAAAAGAGAGAUUGCAGAAGUAACCAAAUUUACUCACGUAGGCCAGGAAUUUCUAUGACGUGUUCCAAAUUCAGCCUCUCACUGAACACUUCCAGAGCAAGGCAACAUAAACAUCUGCAAGAAGAACAUUGUGUGAGAAAUAUCAAGUGAGAGUGGAAGAGUCUGCGGAGGGCCUCCCUGGGGCUCACCUGUGCUUUUGCCUGAGCUUCACCGUGUCAAGAAAAAAUGAGAGCAAACCCAGUUCCCAGAUAAAAGAAUCAGAAUACCCUCCCACACACCUGCCCUCAUGUGACUGAGGCACUUGGCCAGUUCAUAAACAAGCCAUGGUGAUGACCUAUAACAGACGCGUCCUGACCUGGCAGACCGCAGGGGACGUGAAGAAGCUUGGCCUGAAAUAUUCUGACGUGUCCCAGCCUCACACUCACAUAGUUCCUGGGCACCCAGAAAGAUGGGGCCUAGGAAUACUCUUAUUGAGAAUCUGGCAUGAAUGAAUCACACCAAAGACUGCCAGCUAAGUGAGAGAUUUACAGUCUCCAGCCUUGAGUUCUGAGUGUUUUCAGAUGUGGACAGGGUCUGAGACUCUCACGUGACAAGCCAUGGGCCCUAUGCCGAGGCAGACUCCUGCUCUGUGCUGCUCCUAGGGAACCACGGCAGCUUCGAAAUGCAUUCUAAUCUGCCCUCUUAUUGUGACAGUUUAUAUUGUACUUAGAACCUAAAAUUAAGACUCUAAACUGAGAAGAGUAACAGGCUCUCCAGUAGCCACUGUGGAUUUGCAUGCAAAGUGCAGACUGACAUUUGAAACUCUUCACUUUUUACCCGCCACUCAUCUUUCCAACCUUGUCACCCAGAUCAUCUGAGUGGUCUCCGUCCCUGAAUCCCUGCAUGCACUUUUGCUUUCUGUCCUUCCCUCUCCCUCAGUUCACUCC
This 1212-nucleotide long non-coding RNA is filed under the name Homo sapiens (human). RNAcentral describes it as "HSALNT0116136". The record is from RNAcentral. Lineage: Eukaryota; Metazoa; Chordata; Mammalia; Primates; Hominidae.